CUCCUACGGGGCGCAGCAGUCGGGAAUAUUGCGCAAUGGAGGAAACUCUGACGCAGUGACGCCGCGUGCAGGAAGAAGGUUUUCGGAUUGUAAACUGCUUUAGACAGGGAAGAAACAAGACAGUACCUGUAGAAUAAGCUCCGGCUAACUACGUGCCAGCAGCCGCGGUAAUACGUAGGGAGCAAGCGUUAUCCGGAUUUACUGGGUGUAAAGGGAGCGUAGACGGUAUGGCAAGUCUGAAGUGAAAGCCCAGGGCUUAACCCUGGGACUGCUUUGGAAACUGUUAGACUAGAGUGCUGGAGAGG
Molecule: ribosomal RNA, 305 nt
Filed under: uncultured bacterium
Lineage: Bacteria
Description: bacterial SSU rRNA
Rfam family: Bacterial small subunit ribosomal RNA
Source: RNAcentral